Molecule: ribosomal RNA, 374 nt
Filed under: uncultured eukaryote
Lineage: Eukaryota
Description: partial 18S ribosomal RNA
Rfam family: Eukaryotic small subunit ribosomal RNA
Source: RNAcentral
CAAGAGCGUAUGUAAAAGUUGUUGCAGUUAAAAAGCUCGUAGUUGAACCUUGGGUUUGGUUGGCCGGUCCGCUUUUUUGCGAGUACUGGAUUCAACCGAGCCUUUCCUUCUGGCUAACCAGUCGUUUCGGCGGCUGGCGAACCAGGAUUUUUACUUUGAGAAAAUUAGAGUGUUCAAAGCAGGCAUUAGCUUGAAUAUAUUAGCAUGGAAUAAUAGAAUAGGACGUUAUGGUUCUAUUUUGUUGGUUUCUAGGACCAUCGUAAUGAUUAAUAGGGACGGUCGGGGGCAUCAGUAUUCAGUUGUCAGAGGUGAAAUUCUUGGAUUUACUGAAGACUAACUACUGCGAAAGCAUUUGCCAAGGACGUUUUCAUUUA